Molecule: transfer RNA, 67 nt
Filed under: Encyrtus aurantii
Lineage: Eukaryota; Metazoa; Arthropoda; Insecta; Hymenoptera; Encyrtidae
Description: tRNA-Trp
Source: RNAcentral
AAAAUUUUAAGUUAUUUAAACUAUAAACUUUCAAAGUUUAUUAUACUUAAAAUAUAAGUAAAUUUUA